CCUACGGGAGGCAGCAGUGAGGAAUAUUGGUCAAUGGGCUCGAGCCUGAACCAGCCAAGUAGCGUGAAGGAUGACUGCCCUACGGGUUGUAAACUUCUUUUAUAAAGGAAUAAAGUGAGGCACGUGUGCCUUUUUUGAUGGACUUUAUAAAUAAGGAUCGGCUAACUCCGUGCCAGCAGCCACGGUAAUACGGAGGAUCCGAACGUUAUCCGGAUUUAUUGGGUUUAAAGGGAGCGUAGAUGGGUUGGUAAGUCAGUUGUGAAAGUUUGCGGCUCAAACGUAAAAUUGCAAUUGAUACUGGCAGUCUUGAGUACAGUUGAGGUAGGCGGAAUUCGUGGUGUAGCGGUGAAAUGCUUAGAUAUCACGAAGAACUCCGAUUGCGAAGGCAGCUUACUAACCUGCCACUGACAUUGAUGCUCGAAAGUGUGGGUAUCAAACAGGAUUAGAUACCCUUGUAGUC
RNAcentral lists this ribosomal RNA (460 nucleotides) under uncultured bacterium. RNAcentral describes it as "partial 16S ribosomal RNA". It matches the Rfam family "Bacterial small subunit ribosomal RNA", at positions 338 to 795 of the family's 1533-position model. The record is from RNAcentral.